RNAcentral lists this unclassified non-coding RNA (391 nucleotides) under soil metagenome. RNAcentral's name for it is "partial contains 5.8S ribosomal RNA, internal transcribed spacer 2, and large subunit ribosomal RNA". The stretch from base 1 to 122 matches the Rfam family "5.8S ribosomal RNA", at positions 35 to 154 of the family's 154-position model. The record is from RNAcentral.
GAUGAAGAACGUAGCGAAAUGCGAUACUUGGUGUGAAUUGCAGAAUCCCGUGAACCAUCGAGUCUUUGAACGCAAGUUGCGCCCGAAGCCAUUAGGCCGAGGGCACGCCUGCCUGGGCGUCACACGUCGUUGCCCCCCCAUCUACUCCUUCGGGAUUGCGGGGGGCGGAUGAUGGCCUCUCGUGCGCCUCGUCGCGCGGUUGGCCUAAAUGCCAAGUCCUCGGCGACGCACGCCACGACAAUCGGUGGUUGCGAAACCUCGGUUGCCUGUCGUGUGCGGUCGUCGCGCAUCGAGGGCUCGAAAAAAUUGCCGGACUUCGGCUCGACUUUCAACGCGACCCCAGGUCAGGCGGGGUUACCCGCUGAAUUUAAGCAUAUCAAUAAGCGGAGGA